UAAUUGUUUUUUGUUUAUUUUUUGGUAUUGCAUAUUAAAAAUUGAAAAUUUCAUUUGGGAAUGAAAAAUAGAAUUAGGAGGUAGAAGAAGGAAAGGUUUUAUUGUUCUAAAAUAAAUAUUAUCCUUUUUGGUGUUGAUAUAUCGACUCUUAUGAUAUCUGUUUUUGUGAUGUUAUUAGAAAAUUGUAAUUUUUUUUUGGUUGAAUGUUGAAAGUUUGUGAUUUAAAGUGUCUGGUUGUUGUGUUUUAUAACAGUUUUUGUUUUUAAUAUAUCUGAGUUUUAUUGGUUCUAAAAGUUUUUAGGGUUGGAUUAUAAUUUUAUUAGUAGUUAUUUUAAUGUUGUUUUUUUAAUUAAAAUUUGGAAAGAAAUAAAGUUUUGGUCAAAUGUUUAUUAAAGUCUUAGGUUUUAGAUUAAAAUUCGCCUCUGCUCCAUGAGAUUUUUAAAUAGCAGUCUUAGCGUGAGGACAUUAAGGUAGCAAAAUAAUUUGUGUUUUUAUUGGAUUCCAGUAUGAAAGGGGUUAUUGGCUAAUGUUUUUUUUUAGUGUUGAUGAAUUUAAGAUUUACUUAAGAAAUAGUGGGUUUAUUUGAGCAAAGAUAAGUCUUUGGAAAUUCUAUUGGAUUUUGGUCUAAGUUUUCUAGGGUAGAGUUUUUUGUAAUUUUGUUUUACUAGUAGUAAUGAAAAGAAUUACUCCAGAGUUAACAGAAAAUCAUAUCUUAUCUAGUUCUUAUAGUAAGAUAAGUUUUACAUCGAUGUUGUAUUUUAUUUUUGAAAGGGGUAGAAGAUUUUUGAAUUAGAGACUGUUCUUCUUGAGAUAAAUAAACGUGAUAUUAGUUUAGCCCAUUGUGAAAUAGGGCGGUUUAUCUUGUCAAUUAAUUGGUUUUAAUUUAAUUAGUACGAAAGGAAUGUUAUAAAGACUUUAAGUCUUUUUAAGUUUUUAACUUAU
RNAcentral lists this ribosomal RNA (942 nucleotides) under Gnathostoma spinigerum. Its description in RNAcentral is "large subunit ribosomal RNA". The record is from RNAcentral. Lineage: Eukaryota; Metazoa; Nematoda; Chromadorea; Rhabditida; Gnathostomatidae.